RNAcentral lists this ribosomal RNA (560 nucleotides) under Clostridium botulinum C. RNAcentral describes it as "bacterial SSU rRNA". It matches the Rfam family "Bacterial small subunit ribosomal RNA", at positions 978 to 1533 of the family's 1533-position model. The record is from RNAcentral. Lineage: Bacteria; Bacillati; Bacillota; Clostridia; Eubacteriales; Clostridiaceae.
GACUUGACAUCUCCUGAAUUACUCUUAAUCGAGGAAGUCCCUUCGGGGACAGGAAGACAGGUGGUGCAUGGUUGUCGUCAGCUCGUGUCGUGAGAUGUUGGGUUAAGUCCCGCAACGAGCGCAACCCUUAUUGUUAGUUGCUACUAUUAAGUUAAGCACUCUAACGAGACUGCCGCGGUUAACGUGGAGGAAGGUGGGGAUGACGUCAAAUCAUCAUGCCCCUUAUGUCUAGGGCUACACACGUGCUACAAUGGCUGGUACAACGAGCAGCAAACCCGCGAGGGGGAGCAAAACUUGAAAGCCAGUCCCAGUUCGGAUUGUAGGCUGAAACUCGCCUACAUGAAGUUGGAGUUGCUAGUAAUCGCGAAUCAGCAUGUCGCGGUGAAUACGUUCCCGGGUCUUGUACACACCGCCCGUCACACCAUGAGAGCCGGUAACACCCGAAGCCCGUGAGGUAACCGUAAGGAGCCAGCGGUCGAAGGUGGGAUUGGUGAUUGGGGUGAAGUCGUAACAAGGUCGCCGUAGGAGAACCUGCGGCUGGAUCACCUCCUUUCUAGGGA